AUGGUACAUAAGAGGCACCCUGGGCCAAGAAUAGAAGAAAAAUCCUUUAAAUUUUUCAAUGUCUUGGAAUCAAGUGGAAUCAUAACAGCAAUAGAGCCCUAUAUAAGAUCAGGGCAAGGACAAGAACACAACAGUGAAGAGAUCUAUCCAUCCUAUCUACACAUCAUCCAUAGCCAUCUGAGUGUGGUUCCAGUGGCUCAACUGCACUUGUAUUGCGGGGUGUAUCUGAUGGGUUGGGGAUCGGCAGUGGUUGGAUUAGGAAAGGCAUUGGAAUCUUUUGAAUUCAGCAGAAGUUUGGAUGAAACUUGCAGCAGUCACUGCAGGACCUGCUCUGCUUUAAGAGGAUUGUGUGCUCCAGAAGAGCUGUAA
This 369-nucleotide long non-coding RNA is filed under the name Chrysolophus pictus (golden pheasant). RNAcentral describes it as "lncRNA (ENSCPIG00010005070.1)". The record is from RNAcentral. Lineage: Eukaryota; Metazoa; Chordata; Aves; Galliformes; Phasianidae.